Molecule: ribosomal RNA, 429 nt
Filed under: Chloroflexota bacterium
Lineage: Bacteria; Bacillati; Chloroflexota
Description: Chloroflexi bacterium partial 16S ribosomal RNA
Rfam family: Bacterial small subunit ribosomal RNA
Source: RNAcentral
UGGGGAAUAUUGCACAAUGGGCGCAAGCCUGAUGCAGCCAUGCCGCGUGUAUGAAGAAGGCCUUCGGGUUGUAAAGUACUUUCAGCGGGGAGGAAGGCGAUAAGGUUAAUAACCUUGUCGAUUGACGUUACCCGCAGAAGAAGCACCGGCUAACUCCGUGCCAGCAGCCGCGGUAAUACGGAGGGUGCAAGCGUUAAUCGGAAUUACUGGGCGUAAAGCGCACGCAGGCGGUCUGUAAAGUCGGAUGUGAAAUCCCCGGGCUCAACCUGGGAAGUGCAUUCGAAACUGGCAGGCUAGGCUCUUGUAGAGGGGGAUAGAAUUCCAGGUGUAGCGCUGAAAUGCGUUGAGAUCUGGAGGAAUACCGGUGGGGAAGGCGGCCCCCUGGACAAAGACUGACGCUCAGGUGCUAAAGCGUGGGGAGCAAACAGG